UGCACUCGGAUGUCGCUUGGGAUA
RNAcentral lists this non-coding RNA (24 nucleotides) under Arabidopsis thaliana (thale cress). Lineage: Eukaryota; Viridiplantae; Streptophyta; Magnoliopsida; Brassicales; Brassicaceae. The record is from RNAcentral.